Molecule: ribosomal RNA, 2921 nt
Filed under: Staphylococcus aureus M0222
Lineage: Bacteria; Bacillati; Bacillota; Bacilli; Caryophanales; Staphylococcaceae
Description: bacterial LSU rRNA
Rfam family: Bacterial large subunit ribosomal RNA
Source: RNAcentral
UUAAGUUAUUAAGGGCGCACGGUGGAUGCCUUGGCACUAGAAGCCGAUGAAGGACGUUACUAACGACGAUAUGCUUUGGGGAGCUGUAAGUAAGCUUUGAUCCAGAGAUUUCCGAAUGGGGAAACCCAGCAUGAGUUAUGUCAUGUUAUCGAUAUGUGAAUACAUAGCAUAUCAGAAGGCACACCCGGAGAACUGAAACAUCUUAGUACCCGGAGGAAGAGAAAGAAAAUUCGAUUCCCUUAGUAGCGGCGAGCGAAACGGGAAGAGCCCAAACCAACAAGCUUGCUUGUUGGGGUUGUAGGACACUCUGUACGGAGUUACAAAGGACGACAUUAGACGAAUCAUCUGGAAAGAUGAAUCAAAGAAGGUAAUAAUCCUGUAGUCGAAAAUGUUGUCUCUCUUGAGUGGAUCCUGAGUAAGACGGAGCACGUGAAAUUCCGUCGGAAUCUGGGAGGACCAUCUCCUAAGGCUAAAUACUCUCUAGUGACCGAUAGUGAACCAGUACCGUGAGGGAAAGGUGAAAAGCACCCCGGAAGGAGAGUGAAAUAGAACCUGAAACCGUGUGCUUACAAGUAGUCAGAGCCCGUUAAUGGGUGAUGGCGUGCCUUUUGUAGAAUGAACCGGCGAGUUACGAUUUGAUGCAAGGUUAAGCAGUAAAUGUGGAGCCGUAGCGAAAGCGAGUCUGAAUAGGGCGUUUAGUAUUUGGUCGUAGACCCGAAACCAGGUGAUCUACCCUUGGUCAGGUUGAAGUUCAGGUAACACUGAAUGGAGGACCGAACCGACUUACGUUGAAAAGUGAGCGGAUGAACUGAGGGUAGCGGAGAAAUUCCAAUCGAACCUGGAGAUAGCUGGUUCUCUCCGAAAUAGCUUUAGGGCUAGCCUCAAGUGAUGAUUAUUGGAGGUAGAGCACUGUUUGGACGAGGGGCCCCUCUCGGGUUACCGAAUUCAGACAAACUCCGAAUGCCAAUUAAUUUAACUUGGGAGUCAGAACAUGGGUGAUAAGGUCCGUGUUCGAAAGGGAAACAGCCCAGACCACCAGCUAAGGUCCCAAAAUAUAUGUUAAGUGGAAAAGGAUGUGGCGUUGCCCAGACAACUAGGAUGUUGGCUUAGAAGCAGCCAUCAUUUAAAGAGUGCGUAAUAGCUCACUAGUCGAGUGACACUGCGCCGAAAAUGUACCGGGGCUAAACAUAUUACCGAAGCUGUGGAUUGUCCUUUGGACAAUGGUAGGAGAGCGUUCUAAGGGCGUUGAAGCAUGAUCGUAAGGACAUGUGGAGCGCUUAGAAGUGAGAAUGCCGGUGUGAGUAGCGAAAGACGGGUGAGAAUCCCGUCCACCGAUUGACUAAGGUUUCCAGAGGAAGGCUCGUCCGCUCUGGGUUAGUCGGGUCCUAAGCUGAGGCCGACAGGCGUAGGCGAUGGAUAACAGGUUGAUAUUCCUGUACCACCUAUAAUCGUUUUAAUCGAUGGGGGGACGCAGUAGGAUAGGCGAAGCGUGCGAUUGGAUUGCACGUCUAAGCAGUAAGGCUGAGUAUUAGGCAAAUCCGGUACUCGUUAAGGCUGAGCUGUGAUGGGGAGAAGACAUUGUGUCUUCGAGUCGUUGAUUUCACACUGCCGAGAAAAGCCUCUAGAUAGAAAAUAGGUGCCCGUACCGCAAACCGACACAGGUAGUCAAGAUGAGAAUUCUAAGGUGAGCGAGCGAACUCUCGUUAAGGAACUCGGCAAAAUGACCCCGUAACUUCGGGAGAAGGGGUGCUCUUUAGGGUUAACGCCCAGAAGAGCCGCAGUGAAUAGGCCCAAGCGACUGUUUAUCAAAAACACAGGUCUCUGCUAAACCGUAAGGUGAUGUAUAGGGGCUGACGCCUGCCCGGUGCUGGAAGGUUAAGAGGAGUGGUUAGCUUCUGCGAAGCUACGAAUCGAAGCCCCAGUAAACGGCGGCCGUAACUAUAACGGUCCUAAGGUAGCGAAAUUCCUUGUCGGGUAAGUUCCGACCCGCACGAAAGGCGUAACGAUUUGGGCACUGUCUCAACGAGAGACUCGGUGAAAUCAUAGUACCUGUGAAGAUGCAGGUUACCCGCGACAGGACGGAAAGACCCCGUGGAGCUUUACUGUAGCCUGAUAUUGAAAUUCGGCACAGCUUGUACAGGAUAGGUAGGAGCCUUUGAAACGUGAGCGCUAGCUUACGUGGAGGCGCUGGUGGGAUACUACCCUAGCUGUGUUGGCUUUCUAACCCGCACCACUUAUCGUGGUGGGAGACAGUGUCAGGCGGGCAGUUUGACUGGGGCGGUCGCCUCCUAAAAGGUAACGGAGGCGCUCAAAGGUUCCCUCAGAAUGGUUGGAAAUCAUUCAUAGAGUGUAAAGGCAUAAGGGAGCUUGACUGCGAGACCUACAAGUCGAGCAGGGUCGAAAGACGGACUUAGUGAUCCGGUGGUUCCGCAUGGAAGGGCCAUCGCUCAACGGAUAAAAGCUACCCCGGGGAUAACAGGCUUAUCUCCCCCAAGAGUUCACAUCGACGGGGAGGUUUGGCACCUCGAUGUCGGCUCAUCGCAUCCUGGGGCUGUAGUCGGUCCCAAGGGUUGGGCUGUUCGCCCAUUAAAGCGGUACGCGAGCUGGGUUCAGAACGUCGUGAGACAGUUCGGUCCCUAUCCGUCGUGGGCGUAGGAAAUUUGAGAGGAGCUGUCCUUAGUACGAGAGGACCGGGAUGGACAUACCUCUGGUGUACCAGUUGUCGUGCCAACGGCAUAGCUGGGUAGCUAUGUGUGGACGGGAUAAGUGCUGAAAGCAUCUAAGCAUGAAGCCCCCCUCAAGAUGAGAUUUCCCAACUUCGGUUAUAAGAUCCCUCAAAGAUGAUGAGGUUAAUAGGUUCGAGGUGGAAGCAUGGUGACAUGUGGAGCUGACGAAUACUAAUCGAUCGAAGACUUAAUCAA